RNAcentral lists this ribosomal RNA (401 nucleotides) under uncultured bacterium. RNAcentral describes it as "bacterial SSU rRNA". It matches the Rfam family "Bacterial small subunit ribosomal RNA", at positions 413 to 831 of the family's 1533-position model. The record is from RNAcentral.
AAUCUACAGAUUGGACUCUAAAAGGUUUGGUCUAACGCCGUGAUACUUGCAUAGGAUGAAAUGUAAUUAUUAUUAACUAUGGCUAAUACAUGUGCCAGCAGCCGCGGUAAUACAUGAGUAGUGAACGUUAAUCAUAGUGGUUGGGUGUAAAAAAUGCUACGACUAGUACCAAAUUUUCGGAAGUGAGAGCUAAUGCUAAUAAGGUAUGAGAAAAUUUGUAAAUUAUUUAUCCAUUUUUAAUUUUUAAAGAUAAAAUUUAAUAAGAAAUUAAAAAUGACCUAUAUAUGGAAAUAGAAUAAUUACAACUUUUGACGUUUUAGGCAUGAAAGUAUAGGUGGCGAUAAGGAUUAGAGACCCUUGUAGUCUAUACUGUAAAAGAUAAGUGCUUAUGGUGUAACAAC